UCAACUGCGGUGUGGACAUGAAUCUAGGGUUUUGGUCAAAUUGAUUAGAAAAUUCACAGAUGUUGGUGUGAUGUAUCACUAAAAACAUUCAAACAAGUAGGCCAUAUUACUUUUUCUAUUAUUCAUGGCAUUGGUAUGGUAACUUUUAAUAUCAUUGGGAUGUUUUAUGAACACUCUGAUGCAUAUAGUGAUCGUCUUUGAUAUCCCUGCACAGUCCUUCAAUUAAAUGCAUUGUAUGCGUUCGUUUGAAAGGUUUUGGAGCUCUACGCCAACCAGGUUUCCAGCCUUAAAGGUCUUAGCAGCCAGCCUCUACCCUGCCUUCAGCAUCUGGGUCUGGGCUGCAACAGGCUGGGUUCCCCUGCAGACAUCCAGUACCUCACUGGAACUCUAUGGCCACAGCUGGUAUCUCUGGACCUGAGCUGGUCUGGCUUCCAAGGACAGCGGGCCCUAGUGGAUGCCCUGGUCACCCUGCCUUGCCUGAGGACCUUGGUGCUGGAGGGCAACCCCCUUACCUUCACCCCUUCCUACCCAGGCUUCAUCCUGGACAGCCUCCCGAGGCUGCUCUACCUGGACGCCACACGGGUUACACCGGAUGAUCACCAUCGCUUUGAAGGCCUGGCCAAGAUGAGAGACCGGAUAGUGGACCAGGCCAUGGCAACAGUGACAGUGCGAAGGAUCAGGGGUGUCCCGAACCCACUGCUGACUGUGGAUGAGAGUGCCCCUGAGUUCCCUGUGGUCAGCUACAGCUACUUUGUCAACUAUGAGUUCCUCAGCCAACCACCCCCUGGCAACAAGGCAUGAUAUCCCAUUUUUCUGUUUAGUCAUUCAACUUAAUUGAUUGUCAUAUUACAAUCUAGUUAUUGAUUGGUCACAGCAGGCUGGCAGUGACACUGCAUCCACAUCUGAUCCAAUGACACCCAUGGCAGAGAAGAUGGAUGGGGGCAUCGUUGGCAUCUAUCAGACACCAAAAGAGAACUGUGAGGAGGAAACAACCAACACUCCAAUGCCAGACACCACAGCCAGGACAAUGGAGAGUUUGGAAACUAACCAUUGUUCCAUUGAUGUGAUAAUGAACAGCACACAUAAGCUGGCAUGGGCAGAGUCCAUGGACUAUGACCACACAAGUGUGCAUAGUGUUGGUGACCUGGGGUCCUUCAAGUCCUUUGUCCUUCGUGGGCUCUGGUUGACUGUGGAGGAGGAGAAGAUCCUCUCAUGGCCUGCCCCUUCAGGAGAACAGCCAAUAACCAAAUCUACAACAGAAAAGAAAGGGGGGAAAGAGGUGAUGUUACACAAUUUGUAAUCUCUCAUUCGAGAUUACACAAUUUAACAGUCCUUAUAGUCUGGUGAUGGAAGUGUUCUCAACCAUGUCAUUUUUUCAGAGAGGUUUAUAAUAUCACUUAACAGCUGAUAAACGUUUCCUUGUUAGUGACACCGUAUCACAUGCCAUAACCUGUUUUUCAGCAUAGUCAUGUACAAGGUCAUUGCUUCCUCAUAUACUUUAUGUGGCUGUUGCAUGUUUGUGGUUAACACAAUGGGAGAGGGAAAUUCAAUUCCAUGACACUCAAACAGGUCGAGUUACACUACAUCACAUUUUUGAAAUGGUUCCAAUCACUUACAAGCCACGGUAGUGUGAAAAAAUCUUUCAGAUACACUAUUAAAAAAGCAUAACCAUUAAUCUGACGAGAUCACGUCCAGUAAUCACAGAGUUACACAUGGAAUAAACAAACAUACAGUCAAUAACACAAUAGAGGAAAAAAUGUCUAUAAACAGUGUGUGCAAAUUAGGUAAGAUAAGGGAGGUAAGGCAAUAAAUACGCCAUAGUAGCGAAAUAAUUACAAUUUAGCAAUUAAACACUGGAGUGAUAGAUGUGCAGAAGAUGAAUGUGCAAGUAGAGAUACUGGGGUGCAAAGGAGCAAAAAAAUAAAUAACAGUAUGGGGAUGAGGUAGUUGGAUGGGCUAUUUACAGAUGGGAUAUGUACAGGUGCAGUGAUCUGUGAGAUGCUCUGACAGUUGGUGCUUAAAGUUAGUGAGGGAGAUAUGGGUCUCCAGCUUCAGUGAUUUUUGCAAUUCGUUUCAGUCAUUGGCAGCAGAGAACUGGAAGGAAAGGCUUUGGGGGUGACCAGUGAAAUAUACCUGCUGGAGCGCGUGCUACGGGUGGGUGUUGCUAUGGUGACCAGUGAGCUGAGAUAAGGCGGUGCUUUACCUAGAAAAGUCUUAUAGAUGACCUGGAGCCAGUGGGUUUGGCGACGAAUAUCUAGUGAGGACCAGCCAACGAGAGCAUACUGGUCGCAGUGGUGGGUAGUAUAUGGGGCUUUGGUGACAAAACGGAGGGCACUGUGAUAGACUACAUCCAGUUUGCUGACUAGAGUGUUGGAGGCUAUUUUGUAAAUUACAUCGCUGAAGUCAAGGAUCGGUAGGAUAGUCAGUUUUACCAUGGUAUGUUUGGCAGCAUGAGUGAAGGAUGCUUUGUUGUGAAAUAGGAAGCCGGUUCUAGAUUUAAUUUUGGAUUGGAGAUGCUUAAUGUGAGUCUGGAAGGAGAGUUUACAGUCUAACCAGACACCUAGGUAUUCGUAGUUGUCCACAUAUUUUAAGUCAGAACUGUCCAGAGUAGUGAUGCUGGACGGGCGGGCAGGUGCGGGCAGCAAUCGUUUGAAGAGCAUGCAUUUAGUUUUACUUGCAUUUAAGAGUUGUAUGGCAUUGAAGCUCGUCUGGAGGUUAGUUAACACAGUAUCCAAAGAAGGGCCAGAAGUACAGUCGUAUGAAAAAGUUUGGGCACCCCUGACAAUUUCCAUGAUUUCCAUUUAUAAAUAAUUGGGUGUUUGGAUCAGC
This is a long non-coding RNA of Oncorhynchus kisutch (coho salmon), 2829 nucleotides long. The record is from Ensembl. NCBI's taxonomy places the organism in Eukaryota, Metazoa, Chordata, Actinopteri, Salmoniformes, Salmonidae.